Molecule: ribosomal RNA, 553 nt
Filed under: aff. Aureobasidium sp.
Lineage: Eukaryota; Fungi; Ascomycota; Dothideomycetes; Dothideales; Saccotheciaceae
Description: eukaryotic LSU rRNA
Rfam family: 5.8S ribosomal RNA (bases 200-353)
Source: RNAcentral
GACCUGCGGAGGACAUUAAAGAGUAAGGGUGCUGCAGCGCCCGACCUCCAACCCUUUGUUGUUAAAACUACCUUGUUGCUUUGGCGGGACCGCUCGGUCUCGAGCCGCUGGGGAUUCGUCCCAGGCGAGCGCCCGCCGGAGUUAAACCAAACUCUUGUUAUUAAACCGGUCGUCUGAGUUAAAAUUUUGAAUAAAUCAAAACUUUCAACAACGGAUCUCUUGGUUCUCGCAUCGAUGAAGAACGCAGCGAAAUGCGAUAAGUAAUGUGAAUUGCAGAAUUCAGUGAAUCAUCGAAUCUUUGAACGCACAUUGCGCCCCUUGGUAUUCCGAGGGGCAUGCCUGUUCGAGCGUCAUUACACCACUCAAGCUAUGCUUGGUAUUGGGUGCCGUCCUUAGUUGGGCGCGCCUUAAAGACCUCGGCGAGGCCUCACCGGCUUUAGGCGUAGUAGAAUUUAUUCGAACGUCUGUCAAAGGAGAGGACUUCUGCCGACUGAAACCUUUUAUUUUUCUAGGUUGACCUCGGAUCAGGUAGGGAUACCCGCUGAACUUAAGC